This 497-nucleotide ribosomal RNA is filed under the name uncultured bacterium. Its description in RNAcentral is "partial 16S ribosomal RNA". It matches the Rfam family "Bacterial small subunit ribosomal RNA", at positions 28 to 507 of the family's 1533-position model. The record is from RNAcentral.
GAUGAACGCUGGCGGCGUGCCUAAUACAUGCAAGUCGAGCGAACGGACGAGAAGCUUGCUUCUCUGAUGUUAGCGGCGGACGGGUGAGUAACACAUGGAUAACCUACCUAUAAGACUGGGAUAACUUCGGGAAACCGGAGCUAAUACCGGAUAAUAUUUUGAACCGCAUGGUUCAAAAGUGAAUGACGGUCUUGCUGUCACUUAUAGAUGGAUCCGCGCUGCAUUAGCUAGUUGGUAAGGUAACGGCUUACCAAGGCAACGAUGCAUAGCCGACCUGAGAGGGUGAUCGUCAUGACUAGCACCGAGCCACCCACCCGACUCCUACUUUCCGCGACUGUGGGCAAUAUUCCUAAUCGGGCGAAAGCGUGUCGUAACUACUCCACGUGAGUGAUGAAGAACUUCGGAUCGUAAAACGCUAUUAUUAGGGUAGACCAUAUGUGUAAGUAACUGCGCACAUCGUGACGGUGCCUUAUCAGAAUGCCCCGGCUAACUACGUG